AACAAUUCUCAGUUUCUGAGGGGUAGAAGGUUAACUGAAUGCCAAAUUACAUUACCUUGGUAAUUUGAAACUCCAUCAUCUUAAUUAUUUUGGAAAUAUGAGAAGAAUCUGUAAUUUCUGUGGCAUAGAGAACUCUUGGUAUGGAAACUCCCUCUACUGACACUGAUCAUAAGUCAUCUAUGGCCUGGAAUUCACUCCAUCAACGCAACUCACAACUCAUUCACAACUUCACAGGCUUCCAAGUUGAGGACUCCUUCCAUUACUCCAUAUUUUCACAGCUGCUGACUGAACAACCAAAAUUUUAAAAGGACGGGCUCUUGUGGGAAGAGACAAGCAUUGCUUGGAACCCAUGACUAUAAUCUAAAGCAGCUUGCCAUGUUAGGCAAUAAAAUCUUCAGGGCAAAUAGCAAGAAGUUCCCUUAAAUUGUACUGGGCGGGGGAAGCUACUACAGAGUGGUUCAACUGGAAUGCAGACACCAGAGUGU
This is a long non-coding RNA of Vombatus ursinus (common wombat), 485 nucleotides long. RefSeq lists it as uncharacterized. NCBI's taxonomy places the organism in Eukaryota, Metazoa, Chordata, Mammalia, Diprotodontia, Vombatidae. The transcript has 3 exons. The record is from RefSeq and is a predicted model, not a curated record.